Molecule: ribosomal RNA, 446 nt
Filed under: uncultured bacterium
Lineage: Bacteria
Description: partial 16S ribosomal RNA
Rfam family: Bacterial small subunit ribosomal RNA
Source: RNAcentral
CCUACGGGGGGCAGCAGUCGAGAAUCUUUCACAAUGGGGGAAACCCUGAUGCUGCGACGCCGCGUGGGGGAAUGAAGGCCUCCGGAUUGUAAACUCCUGUCAUGUGGGAGCAAAUUAAAAAGAUAGUACCACAAGAGGAAGAGACGACUAACUCUGUGCCAGCAGCCGCGGUAAUACGGAGGUCUCAAGCGUUGUUCGGAAUGACUGGGUGUAAAGCGUGCGUAGGCUGUUUGGUAAGUCGUGUGUGAAAGGCGCCGGCUCAACCCGCGGACGGCACAUGAUACUGCGAGACUAGAGUAAUGGAGGGGGAACCGGAAUUCAUGGUGUAGCAGUGAAAUGCGUAGAUAUCGAGAGGAACACUCGUGGCGAAGGCGGGUGCCUGGACAUUAACUGACGCUGAGGCACGAAGGCGAGGGGAGCGAAAGGGAUUAGAUACCCCAGUAGUC